This 346-nucleotide ribosomal RNA is filed under the name uncultured eukaryote. RNAcentral's name for it is "SSU rRNA". It matches the Rfam family "Eukaryotic small subunit ribosomal RNA", at positions 594 to 945 of the family's 1831-position model. The record is from RNAcentral.
AUAGCGUAUAUUAAAGUUGUUGCAGUUAAAAAGCUCGUAGUUGAAACUUGGGCCUGGCUGGCCGGUCCGCCUCACCGCGUGUACUGGUCCGGCCGGGCCUUUCCUUCUGGAGAUCCCCAUGCCCUUCACUGGGCGUGCGGGGGAACCAGGACUUUUACUUUGAAAAAAUUAGAGUGUUCAAAGCAGGCCUUUGCUCGAAUACGUUAGCAUGGAAUAAUAGAAUAGGACGUGCGGUCCUAUUUUGUUGUUUUCUAGAACCGCCGUAAUGAUUAAUAGGGAUAGUCGGGGGCAUCAGUAUUCAAUUGUCAGAGGUGAAAUUCUUGGAUUUAUUGAAGACUAACUACUG